This 751-nucleotide ribosomal RNA is filed under the name uncultured bacterium. RNAcentral describes it as "bacterial SSU rRNA". It matches the Rfam family "Bacterial small subunit ribosomal RNA", at positions 12 to 753 of the family's 1533-position model. The record is from RNAcentral.
UUUGAUCCUGGCUCAGAGUGAACGCUGGCGGCGUGGAUUAGGCAUGCAAGUCGAGCGAUCCCGCAAGGGAUAGCGGCAAACGGGUGAGUAACACGUAGGUAAUCUGCCUUGAAGUCGGGCAUAGCAUCGUGAAAGCGGUGGUAAUUUCCGAUAUGGCGUAGAUAUCUCUGGAUGUUUAUGUUAAAGAUGGGGAUCUUAGGACCUGUCGCUUCAAGAUGAGCCUGCGUCCUAUCAGCUUGUUGGUGGGGUAAUGGCCUACCAAGGCUUAUGACGGGUAGCUGGUCUGAGAGGAUGGUCAGCCACACUGGGACUGAGACACUGCCCAGACUCCUACGGGAGGCUGCAGUCGAGAAUCUUUAGCAAUGGGCGAAAGCCUGACUAUGCGACGCCGCGUGCAGGACGAAGGCCUUCGGGUUGUAAACUGCUUUUAUCAGGAAAGAAACCUGUAAAGAUAAUACCUUUGCAGUUGACGGUACCUGAAGAAUAAGCCACGGCCAACUCCGUGCCAGCAGCCGCGGUAAUACGGGGGUGGCGAGCGUUACUCGGAAUUAUUGGGUGUAAAGGGUAAGUAGGUGGUCUGUUAAGUGAGGGGUGAAAUCUUCCGACUCAAUCGGGAAACUGCCUUUCAAACUAAUAGACUUGAGACCAGAAGAGGGAAACGGAAUUAGCAGUGUAAGGGUGAAAUCUGCAGAUAUUGCUAAGAACACCAAUGGCGAAGGCAGUUUCCUGGUCUGGUACUGACGCUAAACUA